This 440-nucleotide ribosomal RNA is filed under the name uncultured bacterium. Its description in RNAcentral is "partial 16S ribosomal RNA". It matches the Rfam family "Bacterial small subunit ribosomal RNA", at positions 338 to 795 of the family's 1533-position model. The record is from RNAcentral.
CCUACGGGCGGCAGCAGUGGGGAAUAUUGCACAAUGGGGGAAACCCUGAUGCCGCAACGCCGCGUGGGUGAAGGAGCGUUUCGGCGCGUAAAGCCUUGUCAGCAGGGAAGAAAAUGACGGUACCUGAAGAAGAAGCCCCGGCUAACUACGUGCCAGCAGCCGCGGUAAUACGUAGGGGGCCAGCGUUAUCCGGAUUUACUGGGUGUAAAGCGCUCGUAGGCGGUAUGUCAAGUCAAGGGUGAAAUCCCCGCGCGCAACGUGGGAACUGCCUUUGAAACUGGCAAACUGGUGUGUGUGAGAGGAUAGUGGAAUUCCAGGUGGAGGAGUGAAAUCCGUAGAUAUCUGGAGGAACAUCAGUGGCGAAGGCGACUAUCUGGCACAUAACUGACGCUGAGGAGCGAAAGCGUGGGUAGCAAACAGGAUUAGAUACCCGGGUAGUC